CCCGGAUCUGUAAAACGUUUCAAUCGCUUUCUGAAAGUCCAUUCGCUUGAGCCAUUAGUAGUCGUACAAAUGUUCAUACAGUAAACAAAGGCACUGAGACUAAAGCGAGUGUUAUGCAUGUUUGAAACAUGAACACAAAUCGACUUAACGGUAUAAUAACGCGUUAACGGCCUCUAUUGAGAACACACCACCGUUUUUUGACCAUUGAAAAUCCUUACUUUUUUAUCAUUAAGCAUAUAAUGUAUUUUUAAUUAUUCUCGUUUAGAAUUAUGUUAUUGAUUGCAAUAAAUAACAGUCCUCUGCAAACUAAACCGUAAAAAAACACAUUAAUCCCAAAAUCGUAAAGUGUAGCGAUCGAAGUGACAUUAGAAAGUAAAAACAUAGUUGAAUGAAACUGUAACAUCUGUGGUCGUACAUCUGUAGACAUCGGUCCCUUUCCACUCUACGCUCACACGCAUCGGCACACAAGCUAGUUGAUCGAGCGCGGCGGCCAAGUGUUGUUGAGUGUUUCCUUCAGGACUGCUUCCGUAUUUCGCAAAAUGAGAUUAGCGGCACCAUUUGCGUUAGUAGUAGCAACAUGUUUCGGUUUAGAUUCUGCAGUAUACAAUGGUUUUGAGAAUGGAUUCGAGUACCGAAUAGAGCAUGUGGCACAAAGUUGGGACGUGGCGAAAGCGAGCUGCAUGCAAGACAACGCAUCACUA
This is a long non-coding RNA of Hyposmocoma kahamanoa, 701 nucleotides long. RefSeq lists it as uncharacterized. The transcript has 3 exons. NCBI's taxonomy places the organism in Eukaryota, Metazoa, Arthropoda, Insecta, Lepidoptera, Cosmopterigidae. The record is from RefSeq and is a predicted model, not a curated record.